CAGCAGCCGCGGUAAGACAGAGGAUGCAAGCGUUAUCCGGAAUGAUUGGGCGUAAAGCGUGCGCAGGCGGUUCGUUAAGACAGAUGUGAAAUCCCCGGGCUUAACCUGGGAACUGCAUUUGUGACUGGCGGGCUAGAGUAUGGCAGAGGGGGGUAGAAUUCCACGUGUAGCAGUGAAAUGCGUAGGGAUGUGGAGGAAUACCGAUGGCGAAGGCAGCCCCCUGGGUCAAUACUGACGCUCAUGCACGAAAGCGUGGGGAGCAAACAGGAUUAGAUACCCCCGUAGUCCCUGUCUCUUAUAC
Molecule: ribosomal RNA, 301 nt
Filed under: uncultured bacterium
Lineage: Bacteria
Description: partial 16S ribosomal RNA
Rfam family: Bacterial small subunit ribosomal RNA
Source: RNAcentral